AAACAAGGAGCUGGUAUCAGGCACAAUUAAUAUUAGCCCAAGACACCUUGCUUAGCCACACCCUCAAGGGACCUCAGCAGUGAUAAACAUUAAGCCAUAAGUGAAAACUUGACUUAGCCAAGGCUAAGAGGGCCGGUAAAACUCGUGCCAGCCACCGCGGUUAUACGAGAGGCCCAAGCUGAUAGACACCGGCGUAAAGCGUGGUUAGGAGAAUUAACAUGAUUAAAGCCGAAUGCUUUCAAAGCUGUUAUACGCAUACGAAAGCUAGAAGUACAACUACGAAGGUGGCUUUACAAUUUCUGAACCCACGAAAGCUAAGGCACAAACUGGGAUUAGAUACCCCACUAUGCCUAGCCCUAAACAUUGAUAGUUAAUUACAUUUCUAUCCGCCUGGGGACUACGAGCAUAAGCUUAAAACCCAAAGGACUUGGCGGUGCUUUAGAUCCACCUAGAGGAGCCUGUUCUAGAACCGAUAACCCCCGUUAAACCUCACCUUUUCUUGUUCUACCC
RNAcentral lists this ribosomal RNA (510 nucleotides) under Thamnaconus modestus (black scraper). RNAcentral's name for it is "partial 12S rRNA". It matches the Rfam family "Bacterial small subunit ribosomal RNA", at positions 225 to 991 of the family's 1533-position model. Lineage: Eukaryota; Metazoa; Chordata; Actinopteri; Tetraodontiformes; Monacanthidae. The record is from RNAcentral.